This 492-nucleotide ribosomal RNA is filed under the name uncultured bacterium. RNAcentral describes it as "partial 16S ribosomal RNA". It matches the Rfam family "Bacterial small subunit ribosomal RNA", at positions 29 to 507 of the family's 1533-position model. The record is from RNAcentral.
AGUGAACGCUGGCGGUAGGCCUAACACAUGCAAGUCGAACGGCAGCACAGUAAGAGCUUGCUCUUACGGGUGGCGAGUGGCGGACGGGUGAGGAAUACAUCGGAAUCUACUUUUUCGUGGGGGAUAACGUAGGGAAACUUACGCUAAUACCGCAUACGACCUACGGGUGAAAGCAGGGGAUCUUCGGACCUUGCGCGGUUGAAUGAGCCGAUGUUGGAUUAGCUAGUUGGCGGGGUUAAGGCCCACCAAGGCGGCGAUCCGUAGCUGGUCUGAGAGGAUGGUCGGCCGCACUGGAACGUGGACGCGGUCCAGGCUCCUACGGGAGGCAGCAGUGGGGAAUAUUGGACAAUGGGCGCAAGCCUGAUCCAGCCAUACCGCGUGGGUGAAGAAGGCCUUCGGGUUGUAAAGCCCUUUUGUUGGGAAAGAAAAGCAGCAGGUUAAUACCCCGCUGUUCUGACGGUACCCAAAGAAUAAGCACCGGCUAACUUCGUG